Molecule: non-coding RNA, 483 nt
Organism: Marmota flaviventris (yellow-bellied marmot)
Lineage: Eukaryota; Metazoa; Chordata; Mammalia; Rodentia; Sciuridae
Source: RefSeq, a predicted model, not a curated record
UGUCCUGAUGUAGAAGAAGAGAGCAAAUUGGACACCUUGAAAGGUGAAAUCACCUUUAAGAAAGGGGUUCCCGGACUCCCCACCUCCAGGAUGAGCACUGCAGUGUCGUGACCCCGGGGGUUUCGAGUGCCCUGGAGAUGCGAGAUUUUCCUUUGGCAGCAGGAGGCACACACCCAGAGAAUGCGGGAGCUGCAAGGAGAAAGGACCCACUUCCCCAGCAGAGAAAAACAAAGAGGAAAAAGGUGUACAGGUGGUCAGUGCUGAGGGACACGCCAAGCAAGCAGUGGGCCGCUGCUGCUGCUCCCAGCAGCUGCUUCUGCGAUAGCCCGAGAGGAACUCGGUGAGCCCGUCCCUGUUUGUGACUGCAAGCUCAGGAUUUCAAUCAAUGCAUUCCAGUAACCCUAAAGUGAGGAACUCUCCAUCAGGAAACGCACAGAGUAGCCCUAAGUCAAAGCAGGAGGUGAUGGUCCGUCCCCCUACAGU